RNAcentral lists this ribosomal RNA (464 nucleotides) under Vreelandella stevensii. RNAcentral describes it as "partial 16S ribosomal RNA". It matches the Rfam family "Bacterial small subunit ribosomal RNA", at positions 338 to 795 of the family's 1533-position model. Lineage: Bacteria; Pseudomonadati; Pseudomonadota; Gammaproteobacteria; Oceanospirillales; Halomonadaceae. The record is from RNAcentral.
CCUACGGGAGGCAGCAGUGGGGAUAUUGGACAAUGGGGGCAACCCUGAUCCAGCCAUGCCGCGUGUGUGAAGAAGGCCCUCGGGUUGUAAAGCACUUUCAGUGAGGAAGAACGCCUGGUGGUUAAUACCCAUCAGGAAAGACAUCACUCACAGAAGAAGCACCGGCUAACUCCGUGCCAGCAGCCGCGGUAAUACGGAGGGUGCGAGCGUUAAUCGGAAUUACUGGGCGUAAAGCGCGCGUAGGUGGCUUGAUAAGCCGGUUGUGAAAGCCCCGGGCUCAACCUGGGAACGGCAUCCGGAACUGUCAAGCUAGAGUGCAGGAGAGGAAGGUAGAAUUCCCGGUGUAGCGGUGAAAUGCGUAGAGAUCGGGAGGAAUACCAGUGGCGAAGGCGGCCUUCUGGACUGACACUGACACUGAGGUGCGAAAGCGUGGGUAGCAAACAGGAUUAGAUACCCCUGUAGUC